UUUAAUGACCGUAAUUCACAAUUGAACUACAUCUACAUGCAACGCCUAACCAUAACGGUUUGAAAAAUCAUAUUUGUGUACUUGUGUGCGAGUUAAUUCCAUGUGCAGUAAAUUAGAAGGAAAUUUCAAACAUAUUUGUCACACGACUCAACACAUGCAUAUGUAUGCAUGGAGUGACAUCGCAUUUAAAUUCCAAAAAAUUAAAAACAUAUCAGAAACACAUGAAACCUUGGUUGAUGUAGUGUGAUGCCACCAAGAUGAUGUGGUGAAUUUGGCAUGUGUGACGAAAAUUUGGACACACACCACUCACAAACCGGAGCAACUCACUAGAAGGCUAGUGGUUCCGAGAGGGACAAUGCAUGUUUGAUGAGGAACGGAACAUAGCUUUCUCUUACAGCUUCUAAAUUUUUCUACAUGUAACGUGCACUAAUACUACUGACAUGUGAAAAUUUGGAAAAUUUCAGUGGUCGUUUGACCUUUUGAAGACAUUUAAGUGAUUUUCUAGCCAUUUAAUGACCGUAAUUCAAAUUUGAACUACAUCUACAUGCAACAGCUAACCAUAAUGGUUUGAAAUAUCAUAUUUGUGUACUUGUCUGCGAGUUAAUUACAUGUGCAGUAAAUAAGAAGAAAUUUUCAACAUAUUUGUCUCACGACUGGACACAUGCAUAUGUAUGCAUGGAGUGACAUGACAUUUAAAUUCCAAAAAACUAAAAAAAUAUCAGAAACACAUGAAACCUUGGUUGAUGUAAUGUCAUGCCACCAAGAUGAUGUGGUAAAAAAAUUGGCAUGUUUGGCGAAAGUUUGGACACACACCCUUCACAAACCGGAGCAACUCACUAGAAGGCUCGUGGUUCCGAGAGGGAACACUGCAUGUUUGAUGACGAACGGGAGAUAGCUUCCUGUUACGGCCUUCAAAUUUUUUCUACGUCUAACGUGCAAUACUACAACUGUACUGUGAAAUUUUGGAAAAUUCUAGGGGUCAUUUGACUUUUAAUGACAUUUAAUUGAUUUUCUAGCCAUUUAAUGAGCGUAAUUCACAUUUGAACUACAUCUACAUGCAAUGCCUAACCAUAACGGUUUGAAAAAUCAUAUUUGUGUACAUGGAGUGACAUGGCAUUUAAAAUCCAAAAAACGAAAAAAAAUCAGAAACACAUGAAGCCUUGGUUGAUGUAAUGUCAUGCCACCAAGAUUAUGUGGUAAAAAAAUUGGCAGGUUUGACGAAAGUUUGGACACACACCCCUCACAAAACGGAGCAACUCUCUAGAAGGCUCGUGGUUCUGUGACGCCCUCGAUUCAAUUGUACACUAAUCAUACACGCAAAUGUGUACGAUCAAGAUCAAGCACUCACGGGAAAAUAUCACAACACAACUCUAGACACAAAUUAAAAUAAUACAAGCUUUAUAUUACAAGCUAGGGGCCUCGAGGGCUCGAAUACAUAAGUUCGAAAACACAUGACUCGGCGGAAGCAACAAUAUUUGAGUACAGACAUAAGUUAGACAAGUUUGCCUUAAGAAGGCUAGCACAAAAGCAACAUCGAUCGAAAAGGCAAGGCCUCCUGCCUGGGAGCCUCCUAACUACUCCUGGUCGUCGGCGGCCUCCACGAAGUAGUAGGAGCCCUCAGUGUAGUAGCAGUCGUCGUCGAAGGUGGCGUCUGGAUCCUGGGCUCCACCAUCUGGUUUCAUCAACCGGAAAGAAGAAGAAAGGGGGAAAAGGGGGAGCAAAGCAACCGUGAGUACUCAUCCAAAGUACUCAAAAGCAAGGAUCGGCACUACAUAUGCAUUGGUAUCAAUGAAAUGGGUUGUAUCUGUGGACUGGACUACAGAAUGCCAGAAGAGAAGGGGAAAGCCUAGCCUAUCGAAGACUAGCAUCUUCAAGCAGCUCCAAGUAUCUUGCAGCAUUCAGAAAAGAUGAGUGUAGCAUAAAUUAAAGUAGUAGUAGUGUUAUCAACCUCGGCUAGAGAUCCUUUCUCGACUCCCUGCGAGAAAGCAAUCCCAGAGCCAUACUAUCCAUUUCUCAUAUCCAUGUCUCAUCUCAAGUAUCCAGUUCUAGUUGUAUCAAUCGGGAUACAACUCCAAGUGUCCGUUACCAUAGGACAGGCUAUCGAUAGAUGUUUUCUUCCCUGGAGGGGUGCACCAACUUACCCACCACGCUCGAUUAACUCCGGCCGGACACACUUUCCUGGGUCAUGCCCGGCCUCGGCCAAACAAUACGCCGCAACCCGACCUAGGCUUAAUAGAGAGGUCAGCACGCUAGACUAAACCUAUUCCCCCAGGGGUCAUGGGCCAUCGCCCCGAGAACUCCUGCACGUUGCGAACGCGGCCGGUCAGCAGACCUAGCUACCUCCUUCAAAAAGACAGGUGCUUACCAAUCCAACCCGGCGCGCGCCGCCAGUCGCUGACGUCUGUUAAGCUUCGGUUGAUGCAUACGACAAAGAAAGCCCAUACUAUGCCCACGUGAUGGUUAGUGCUAUCAGGCUAGAGGCCCCUCGGAUCAAUUAUCCAAAUCGUAGUGGAUUAGGAGCACGCGGUAACAAGCAGAGACUCGCGAAAGAUGUGACACCGUUGUCCCAUCUCGAGGACUUCCGGCAAGGGCUAGGAAUGCCCGGCCACGCCUCGUAAUUAUCUUGCGGGCACCCUCCAGGUCAACCCGUCUCCACAUCACACGCGCGUACCCCUCAGGUUCGACCCGCCUCUCCAAGUAACGGUGGUAAAGUCCAAGUAUCCGUGUGUCCAAACAUCAAGGGGAAAACCCAAGGAAUCACCCCCGGUGAAUUCCACUCGAUGUAGUCAUCAAGGUGAACGUAAGAGGAUCCACCCUCGAGGUUCACACUUGAGGGGUUGCACGACAGAGUCGUAUCGGAAGUGGUUAAGGAAGAAAUCACCCUCGAUGACCACGACCGAAUAGCUACACUACAGAGAUCCCAUCAGGAGUGAUGUAUGAGGUUCCACCCUCGGCACUCGAUGGUAACUCUGCUGAGUCGAGCAACAAAAGGGGCGGGAUGUGAUGUGAGGUGUCGGGCUCCGAUCUUCGAUCCCGUUGAUCGGGUCUUCAAACAUAAAGCGGGUCAACCGGGACAAGGUGGGGGUCACUAAUGGAUCACUAACCAGCCUAUACUAAGCAUUUUAGGAUAAGCAGGUAAGGUACAAUGAGUAGGUUACAAAAGCGGGCUAAGCAUCAGAAUAGGAGCAAACAAUAACAGUAGCAAAAUCUAAUGCAAGCAUGGGAGAAUGGAAUGGGCGAUAUUGAAAUGAUCAAAGGGGGGGCUUGCCUUGUUAUUCUGGCAAGGAGGGGUCGUUGUCGACGUAGUCGAUCACAGGGGCAGCAUCGGUCUCGGGGUCUACCGGAGAGAAGAGGGGGGAGAAAUAGUAAAUGUAAAGCAAACAUAGCAUCACAAAGCAUAACGUGGCAAUAUGUUGUGCCGGGUGUGACCUAACGUAUGGCUACACGAUACAGGUGAAGGUGGAAUUCAACCGGGAAUUCCCGGUUCCGGACCUGUGUAAGACAGAUGACCGGAGGGGGAUGUUCCAUGUUCAUAUAGUUAGAGGCAUCUGACAGGUAAACGGAUCGCGCAUUCGGAUUCGUUGGAUUUUUCUGAGCAACUUUCAUAUAUAAAGUUUUUCGAUCCGAGCUACCGUUUAUUUUCUACGGAUUUUUAAAGAUUAAAGUAUUUUCUGGAGUUAUUCAAAUUAGCAGAAAUUCAUUAUGAUGUCAGCAUUGCAUGGGGAUUACGUCAGCAGUCAACAGACUCGCUGACCAGGGUCGAACCUGACCUGUGGGUCCAAUGGGACCCACAUGUCAGCCUCUGUUAGUCCAACAGGGUUUUAUACUAAUCUAGCUGGGUUAAUUAACUGGGUGGGGCCCUUCUGUCAGUGAGUGAUUAGUGUUUUGAAUAAUUAAUUUAACUAAUUAACUGGCUUGUAUUUAUUUAAAAACGUUAAAUGGACGGGACCCACAUGCCAGUGACACGGGGCCAGCCUAGUCAGCAGUUGACCCGGUUAACAGGUCAACUGGACCCACUGGUCAGUGGCACGGCGGGCCCCAGUAGUCAGUCCAAGUCAGCGGUGGCCGGCGACUCGCCGAAAUCACGCCGGCGAGCGCAUUCGUCGUGGCACGAGAAUGGGCACCGGUCGGAAACCGCGCACAGACCACCAUUUUGGCCGCGGUUGAGUGGAUUGGAACGGUGAGUCGACGGCGCAUCAACUGGCGGUGGUCGGAGUGGCUGAAACGACGGCGACGAGCUGGUUCGGGAGCUCUACGGGGAGACCAUUUCGGCGUGCGAACCAACGGAAGAAAGAGCUAGGCGGGUGCUAUGCAGUGCGGCGACUCUAACGGGCACUCGCCCAUGACCAUAAGUUCACCGGAGACUCGCCGACGACGAGCCCCGCGGCGCUGUGUUCGGGAGCGCGUGGAAAAUGUAGUUAGGAUACGCGCUAGGGCCAGCAGGGAGUGGGGAAGGAAGAGAAGCUCACCGGGGAGGCACAAGGUGGCCUGGUGUCAGCUUAGUAGCAGCAGCAGUUGCCAGAGAGGACGAAGUUCACCGGCGACAGUGGCGGAAGGGGACGGCUGGCUCGGCUCGUUGUGGAGCUCUCCGGCUCCAAUUAGGGGCACCAGACGACGCAGCUUUUCGUGGCGGAGCGCUACGGCAUGAUGGAUCGGCUCGGAGACGACGGGGACAGCAAGGACGACGGCGCGCGGCGGUAGAUGCGUUCGGGUGGUGGAUCUGAGAAGGAGGCGCGGUGACGGAGUGAGCGGGGAGAGGGGGAGAAAUGGAUGAGGACGCCAGGGAGAGCGGGGGUGAGUGGAGGCGGGGAUCGAGGAGACGGGGAGGCGCGGGGCCUUACCCCCUCGUCGGAGCUGGCGAGGUGGUCGGUCGGCGACGAGCCCCUCUAGUGGUCAUUUGACCUUUUAAAGACAUUUAGGUUUUUUUCUAGCCAUUUAAUGACUGUAAUUCAAAUUUGAACUACAUCUACAUGCAACGGCUAACCACAAUGGUUUGAAAAAUCAUAUUUGUGUGCUUUUGUGCGCGUUAAUUCCAUGUGCAGUAAAUUAUAACGAAUUUUCAAACAUAUUUGUCUCACGAUUGGACACAUGCAUAUGUAUGCAUGGAGUAAGAUGGCAUUUAAAUUCCAAAAAACUAAAAAAUAACAGAAACACAUGAAACCUUGGUUGAUGUAAUGUCAUGCCACCAAGAUGAUGUGGUAAAAAAAUUGGCAUGUUUGACGAAAGUUUGGACACACACCCCUCAGAAACCGGAGCAACUCACUACAAGGCUCGUGGUUCCGAGAGGGAACACUGCAUGUUUGAUGACGAACGGGAGAUAGCUCCCUGUUACAGCCUUCAAUUUUUCUACGUCUAGCGUGCAAUACUACAACUGUACUGUGAAAAAUUGGAAAACUCUAGUGGCCAUUUGACCUUUUGAAGACAUUCAAGUUAUUUUCUAGCCAUUUAAUGACCGUAAUUCACAUUUGAACUACAUCUACAUGCAACACCUAACCAUAACGGUUUUAAAAAUCAUAUUUUUGUACUUGUGUGCGAGUUAAUUCCAUGUGCAGUAAAUUAGAAGGAAAUUUCAAACAUAUUUGUCUCACGACUGGACACAUGCAUAUGUAUGCAUAGAGUGACAUGGCAUUUAAAUUCCAAAAACUUAAUAAAAUAUCAGAAACACAUGAAACCUUGGUUGAUGUAGUGUCAUGCCACCAAGAUGAUGUGGUGAAUUUGGCAUGUGUGACGAAAGUUUGGACACACACCCCUCACAAACCGGAGCAACUCACUAGAAGGCUAGUGGUUCCGAGAGGGACAAUGCAUGUUUGAUGACCAACGGGACAUAGCUUCCUCUUACAGCUUUUAAAUUUUUUCUACGUGUAACGUGCAGUAAUACUACUGACAUGUGAAAAAUAGGAAAAUUUCAGGGGUCAUUUGACCUUUUGAAGACAUUUAAGUGAUUUUCUAGCCAUUUAAUGACCGUAAUUCAAAUUUGAACUACAUCUACAUGCAACAGCUAACCAUAAUGGUUUGAAAUAUCAUAUUUGUGUACUUGUCUGCGAGUUAAUUACAUGUGCAGUAAAUAAGAAGAAAUUUUCAAACAUAUUUGUCUCACGACUGGACACAUGCAUAUGUAUGCAUGGAGUGACAUGACAUUUAAAUUCCAAAAAACUAAAAAAAUAUCAGAAACACAUGAAACCUUGGUUGAUGUAAUGUCAUGCCACCAAGAUGAUGUGGUAAAAAAAUUGGCAUGUUUGGCGAAAGUUUGGACACACACCCUUCACAAACCGGAGCAACUCACUAGAAGGCUCGUGGUUCCGAGAGGGAACACUGCAUGUUUGAUGACGAACGGGAGAUAGCUUCCUGUUACGGCCUUCAAAUUUUUUCUACAUCUAACGUGCAAUACUACAACUGUACUGUGAAAUUUUGGAAAAUUCUAGGGGUCAUUUGACUUUUAAUGACAUUUAAUUGAUUUUCUAGCCAUUUAAUGAGCGUAAUUCACAUUUGAACUACAUCUACAUGCAAUGCCUAACCAUAACGGUUUGAAAAAUCAUAUUUGUGUACAUGGAGUGACAUGGCAUUUAAAAUCCAAAAAACGAAAAAAAAUCAGAAACACAUGAAGCCUUGGUUGAUGUAAUGUCAUGCCACCAAGAUUAUGUGGUAAAAAAAUUGGCAGGUUUGACGAAAGUUUGGACACACACCCCUCACAAAACGGAGCAACUCUCUAGAAGGCUCGUGGUUCUGUGACGCCCUCGAUUCAAUUGUACACUAAUCAUACACGCAAAUGUGUACGAUCAAGAUCAAGCACUCACGGGAAAAUAUCACAACACAACUCUAGACACAAAUUAAAAUAAUACAAGCUUUAUAUUACAAGCUAGGGGCCUCGAGGGCUCGAAUACAUAAGUUCGAAAACACAUGACUCGGCGGAAGCAACAAUAUUUGAGUACAGACAUAAGUUAGACAAGUUUGCCUUAAGAAGGCUAGCACAAAAGCAACAUCGAUCGAAAAGGCAAGGCCUCCUGCCUGGGAGCCUCCUAACUACUCCUGGUCGUCGGCGGCCUCCACGAAGUAGUAGGAGCCCUCAGUGUAGUAGCAGUCGUCGUCGAAGGUGGCGUCUGGAUCCUGGGCUCCACCAUCUGGUUUCAUCAACUGGAAAGAAGAAGAAAGGGGGAAAAGGGGGAGCAAAGCAACCGUGAGUACUCAUCCAAAGUACUCAAAAGCAAGGAUCGGCACUACAUAUGCAUUGGUAUCAAUGAAAUGGGUUGUAUCUGUGGACUGGACUACAGAAUGCCAGAAGAGAAGGGGAAAGCCUAGCCUAUCGAAGACUAGCAUCUUCAAGCAGCUCCAAGUAUCUUGCAGCAUUCAGAAAAGAUGAGUGUAGCAUAAAUUAAAGUAGUAGUAGUGUUAUCAACCUCGGCUAGAGAUCCUUUCUCGACUCCCUGCGAGAAAGCAAUCCCAGAGCCAUACUAUCCAUUUCUCAUAUCCAUGUCUCAUCUCAAGUAUCCAGUUCUAGUUGUAUCAAUCGGGAUACAACUCCAAGUGUCCGUUACCAUAGGACAGGCUAUCGAUAGAUGUUUUCUUCCCUGGAGGGGUGCACCAACUUACCCACCACGCUCGAUUAACUCCGGCCGGACACACUUUCCUGGGUCAUGCCCGGCCUCGGCCAAACAAUACGCCGCAACCCGACCUAGGCUUAAUAGAGAGGUCAGCACGCUAGACUAAACCUAUUCCCCCAGGGGUCAUGGGCCAUCGCCCCGAGAACUCCUGCACGUUGCGAACGCGGCCGGUCAGCAGACCUAGCUACCUCCUUCAAAAAGACAGGUGCUUACCAAUCCAACCCGGCGCACGCCGCCAGUCGCUGACGUCUGUUAAGCUUCGGUUGAUGCAUACGACAAAGAAAGCCCAUACUAUGCCCACGUGAUGGUUAGUGCUAUCAGGCUAGAGGCCCCUCGGAUCAAUUAUCCAAAUCGUAGUGGAUUAGGAGCACGCGGUAACAAGCAGAGACUCGCGAAAGAUGUGACACCGUUGUCCCAUCUCGAGGACUUCCGGCAAGGGCUAGGAAUGCCCGGCCACGCCUCGUAAUUAUCUUGCGGGCACCCUCCAGGUCAACCCGUCUCCACAUCACACGCGCGUACCCCUCAGGUUCGACCCGCCUCUCCAAGUAACGGUGGUAAAGUCCAAGUAUCCGUGUGUCCAAACAUCAAGGGGAAAACCCAAGGAAUCACCCCCGGUGAAUUCCACUCGAUGUAGUCAUCAAGGUGAACGUAAGAGGAUCCACCCUCGAGGUUCACACUUGAGGGGUUGCACGACAGAGUCGUAUCGGAAGUGGUUAAGGAAGAAAUCACCCUCGAUGACCACGACCGAAUAGCUACACUACAGAGAUCCCAUCAGGAGUGAUGUAUGAGGUUCCACCCUCGGCACUCGAUGGUAACUCUGCUGAGUCGAGCAACAAAAGGGGCGGGAUGUGAUGUGAGGUGUCGGGCUCCGAUCUUCGAUCCCGUUGAUCGGGUCUUCAAACAUAAAGCGGGUCAACCGGGACAAGGUGGGGGUCACUAAUGGAUCACUAACCAGCCUAUACUAAGCAUUUUAGGAUAAGCAGGUAAGGUACAAUGAGUAGGUUACAAAAGCGGGCUAAGCAUCAGAAUAGGAGCAAACAAUAACAGUAGCAAAAUCUAAUGCAAGCAUGGGAGAAUGGAAUGGGCGAUAUUGAAAUGAUCAAAGGGGGGGCUUGCCUUGUUAUUCUGGCAAGGAGGGGUCGUUGUCGACGUAGUCGAUCACAGGGGCAGCAUCGGUCUCGGGGUCUACCGGAGAGAAGAGGGGGGAGAAAUAGUAAAUGUAAAGCAAACAUAGCAUCACAAAGCAUAACGUGGCAAUAUGUUGUGCCGGGUGUGACCUAACGUAUGGCUACACGAUACAGGUGAAGGUGGAAUUCAACCGGGAAUUCCCGGUUCCGGACCUGUGUAAGACAGAUGACCGGAGGGGGAUGUUCCAUGUUCAUAUAGUUAGAGGCAUCUGACAGGUAAACGGAUCGCGCAUUCGGAUUCGUUGGAUUUUUCUGAGCAACUUUCAUAUAUAAAGUUUUUCGAUCCGAGCUACCGUUUAUUUUCUACGGAUUUUUAAAGAUUAAAGUAUUUUCUGGAGUUAUUCAAAUUAGCAGAAAUUCAUUAUGAUGUCAGCAUUGCAUGGGGAUUACGUCAGCAGUCAACAGACUCGCUGACCAGGGUCGAACCUGACCUGUGGGUCCAAUGGGACCCACAUGUCAGCCUCUGUUAGUCCAACAGGGUUUUAUACUAAUCUAGCUGGGUUAAUUAACUGGGUGGGGCCCUUCUGUCAGCGAGUGAUUAGUGUUUUGAAUAAUUAAUUUAACUAAUUAACUGGCUUGUAUUUAUUUAAAAACGUUAAAUGGACGGGACCCACAUGCCAGUGACACGGGGCCAGCCUAGUCAGCAGUUGACCCGGUUAACAGGUCAACUGGACCCACUGGUCAGUGGCACGGCGGGCCCCAGUAGUCAGUCCAAGUCAGCGGUGGCCGGCGACUCGCCGAAAUCACGCCGGCGAGCGCAUUCGUCGUGGCACGAGAAUGGGCACCGGUCGGAAACCGCGCACAGACCACCAUUUUGGCCGCGGUUGGGUGGAUUGGAACGGUGAGUCGACGGCGCAUCAACUGGCGGUGGUCGGAGUGGCUGAAACGACGGCGACGAGCUGGUUCGGGAGCUCUACGGGGAGACCAUUUCGGCGUGCGAACCAACGGAAGAAAGAGCUAGGCGGGUGCUAUGCAGUGCGGCGACUCUAACGGGCACUCGCCCAUGACCAUAAGUUCACCGGAGACUCGCCGACGACGAGCCCCGCGGCGCUGUGUUCGGGAGCGCGUGGAAAAUGUAGUUAGGAUACGCGCUAGGGCCAGCAGGGAGUGGGGAAGGAAGAGAAGCUCACCGGGGAGGCACAAGGUGGCCUGGUGUCAGCUUAGUAGCAGCAGCAGUUGCCAGAGAGGACGAAGUUCACCGGCAACAGUGGCGGAAGGGGACGGCUGGCUCGGCUCGUUGUGGAGCUCUCCGGCUCCAAUUAGGGGCACCAGACGACGCAGCUUUUCGUGGCGGAGCGCUACGGCAUGAUGGAUCGGCUCGGAGACGACGGGGACAGCAAGGACGACGGCGCGCGGCGGUAGAUGCGUUCGGGUGGUGGAUCUGAGAAGGAGGCGCGGUGACGGAGUGAGCGGGGAGAGGGGGAGAAAUGGAUGAGGACGCCAGGGAGAGCGGGGGUGAGUGGAGGCGGGGAUCGAGGAGACGGGGAGGCGCGGGGCCUUACCCCCUCGUCGGAGCUGGCGAGGUGGUCGGUCAGCGACGAGCCCCUCUAGUGGUCAUUUGACCUUUAAAAGACAUUUAGGUUUUUUUCUAGCCAUUUAAUGACUGUAAUUCAAAUUUGAACUACAUCUACAUGCAACGGCUAACCACAAUGGUUUGAAAAAUCAUAUUUGUGUGCUUUUGUGCGCGUUAAUUCCAUGUGCAGUAAAUUAUAACGAAUUUUCAAACAUAUUUGUCUCACGAUUGGACACAUGCAUAUGUAUGCAUGGAGUAAGAUGGCAUUUAAAUUCCAAAAAACUAAAAAAUAACAGAAACACAUGAAACCUUGGUUGAUGUAAUGUCAUGCCACCAAGAUGAUGUGGUAAAAAAAUUGGCAUGUUUGACGAAAGUUUGGACACACACCCCUCACAAACCGGAGCAACUCACUACAAGGCUCGUGGUUUCGAGAGGGAACACUGCAUGUUUGAUGACGAACGGGAGAUAGCUCCCUGUUACAGCCUUCAAUUUUUCUACGUCUAGCGUGCAAUACUACAACUGUACUGUGAAAAAUUGGAAAACUCUAGUGGCCAUUUGACCUUUUGAAGACAUUCAAGUUAUUUUCUAGCCAUUUAAUGACCGUAAUUCACAUUUGAACUACAUCUACAUGCAACACCUAACCAUAACGGUUUUAAAAAUCAUAUUUUUGUACUUGUGUGCGAGUUAAUUCCAUGUGCAGUAAAUUAGAAGGAAAUUUCAAACAUAUUUGUCUCACGACUGGACACAUGCAUAUGUAUGCAUAGAGUAACAUGGCAUUUAAAUUCCAAAAACUUAAUAAAAUAUCAGAAACACAUGAAACCUUGGUUGAUGUAGUGUCAUGCCACCAAGAUGAUGUGGUGAAUUUGGCAUGUGUGACGAAAGUUUGGACACACACCCCUCACAAACCGGAGCAACUCACUAGAAGGCUAGUGGUUCCGAGAGGGACAAUGCAUGUUUGAUGACCAACGGGACAUAGCUUCCUCUUACAGCUUUUAAAUUUUUUCUACGUGUAACGUGCAGUAAUACUACUGACAUGUGAAAAAUAGGAAAAUUUCAGGGGUCAUUUGACCUUUUGAAGACAUUUAAGUGAUUUUCUAGCCAUUUAAUGACCGUAAUUCAAAUUUGAAUUACAUCUACAUGCAACAGCUAACCAUAAUGGUUUGAAAUAUCAUAUUUGUGUACUUGUCUGCGAGUUAAUUACAUGUGCAGUAAAUAAGAAGAAAUUUUCAAACAUAUUUGUCUCACGACUGGACACAUGCAUAUGUAUGCAUGGAGUGACAUGACAUUUAAAUUCCAAAAAACUAAAAAAAUAUCA
Molecule: long non-coding RNA, 11613 nt
Filed under: Triticum aestivum (bread wheat)
Lineage: Eukaryota; Viridiplantae; Streptophyta; Magnoliopsida; Poales; Poaceae
Description: long non-coding RNA (TAES_LNC013092)
Source: RNAcentral